GGGGGCGACACGGCUUUCGACGUGGGUUGCGAAACCUGAGGUGCAUGCCGAGGAACAGCAUACCUCGUAAAUCCAGCUGUACCACUAUAGUUGCCAACGACGACAACUACGCUCUCGCCGCUUAAUAACCGGUAGAAGCCAUCUGACUGGAGCCGUGCUUAUGCGUCCAGAGUCCUUCGGGACACUCAGGUGUCAUAUCUCAUAAGAUCGCGCUGAAGGAAGUCCGGGCCGGAUGCGCUAAAACCUAACGGAAUCGCUGUAUUACAUGCCCUGUCGGUCGGGCGGUUUGCAGUUAAAUAUAAUCGACACGACUAAGCAUGUAGAGCCGAUGGCAGAGGGCUUGCGGACGCGGGUUCGAUUCCCGCCGCCUCCACCA
The sequence is a non-coding RNA, 376 nucleotides long. It matches the Rfam family "transfer-messenger RNA". From Rfam's summary of the family: Bacterial tmRNA, also known as 10Sa RNA or SsrA, is named for its dual tRNA and mRNA-like properties. Its role is to liberate the mRNA from a stalled ribosome. To accomplish this part of the tmRNA is used as a reading frame that ends in a translation stop signal. The record is from Rfam.